Molecule: long non-coding RNA, 1409 nt
Filed under: Theobroma cacao (cacao)
Lineage: Eukaryota; Viridiplantae; Streptophyta; Magnoliopsida; Malvales; Malvaceae
Description: long non-coding RNA (TCAC_LNC006446)
Source: RNAcentral
AUAUGUAAGUGGAAACACAUCUUUCAUGAUUUAAAUUAAAUUUUGAAGUCUAAAACAUUCGUUUAAAGUAAAAUUAUAGCUAUUUGAAUAUAAUAAAAAUAUUAAAUAAAAUAUUCUAUUUUCUUAAAACACAAUAUUUUCAAAGUCUUCCUAAAAUAACUUUUAUAGCACAAGAGUAAAAUAAAUUUAUUCAUAUAGUAAUAAAGAUAAUUAAAGUAUGAAAUUUCGUUUACAAUGACACGUGGGCCCCCAACUAACCAAGAAGGUGUAGAGCUACGAACCCUUACUUCCUAUGAUGCAACUCCGAGAUUAAUUCUCGUCUUAAUCAACUAUCAACAAACUGUCCUAAGCCUGAAAAAUGGAUAGGAAGAAGGGUGAGAUUAAAUAAUCCCAAUGAGUAAACAAUUACCAUCAAAAGCAUCUAAAGCCAAGUAGAUGGAGACAAUAUAAAAACGUUAUAUCUCAAUAAUGUUCAUAACACAAAUUUUGCUUCAAUCUAUACCAAACAAUUUAUUUUCAUCAAAAUUUCUCGGCUUAUGAAUUUCUUAAACUUGGCCCCUGCCAGAAUCAUUCUCGCAGGUACCUUCGUCAAGGUAUCCCACUAAGACCGCCAAGGCUGUUUAAUGACCCAUACCCAUAAACAUCUUUUCACUUCUAACACACAGCCGUUCCUUGGCGUUGGCUGAGUCUCACUCUCACGUGGUGGCCCGAACGUGAGGUGCACUCAAAUCAUACAUCAGGAGAUACUUCAUCCAACAUCUCCCCCCGGAGGUAGUUAUAUAAUUGAGUUACCGUGCCCCUCUCAUAGGCAGUCCACGGAAACCCCCACCACUGCAGUGACCGUGAGGUGCAUUCAAAUCUUACCUCAGGAGAUACUUCAUCCAACAUCUACCCCCGGAGGUAAAUAUAUAAUUGGGUUACCGUGCCCCUUUCAUAGGCAGUCCACGGAAACCCCCACCACUACAGUGACCGUUUAAUAUACCACCAGACCCAUAAAAAUUCCAGUGGCAUAAUAUGGCGAAUAAAAUGUAAUUCAGUCUAUCGAGACAAAUCCAAAACUAUUCACAUAUUUCAUGCCAACCCCAAAAAUUUAGCCAUCAUGCUACCAUAGUGUCAUAAGCCCCAAUUUCAAUAACAUAUAAAAUCAUAAAUUUCAACACAGUCUCCAUAUACUUAAUUUUCCCAAAACAAUAUUUGAUUUCAAAACCAGUAUAAAUCUCAUUUUUAUUAAAAAAAACAUUUUAAUUAGAAAACAUAAUAUUUAAUAAUUUAAGCUCACCAUUCAAUAAAAGCAUCAAACAAGUAUAAUAACUCUAGAUAUUUAAGACGAUAAGUUGUCCACUCACAGUUCUAGGAGUCGAUGUACUCCUAAUCCCAGUCUUCAAGCACAAUUUUUGUACUUUUACCAG